GCCAGGUGUGGUAGCGCACGCCUGUGGUCCCAGCUGUUCGGGAGGCUGAGGUGGGAGGAUCACUUGAGCCCAGGAGGUGGAGGCUGCAGUGGGCUGAAAUUGUACCACUGCACUCCAGCCUGGGCAACAGAGUGAGACCCUGUCUCAA
Molecule: non-coding RNA, 148 nt
Filed under: Homo sapiens (human)
Lineage: Eukaryota; Metazoa; Chordata; Mammalia; Primates; Hominidae
Source: Rfam by way of RNAcentral